CUAGCCGAAAUAAAUAAUAAAAUCAGAACUUUCAGGCAGUGAAUGCGAUUUCUUCAGCCCUUAUUCGUCAUGAAUUGACGCCUUUGCGCACCCGUGCCUUGGGAACAAUAUCACAUUUAUUGCCGUGACGGACCGCCUCAUGGCUCUAUAUAAUGUGUUGUGUUGCAAAGGGGGAUUCGACUAGAAGUCACACGAAGUCCAAAUAUAAUCAUCGCAGAGAUGAAACAGUCAAGUUGGCAGAAACCACUUCUCUUCGUUACGACUUCGCUACUCUUGCCAAUCUUCUACGACCAUACGCUAAUGACGUCUCUGCAACAGUUUCGGACAGUUGUUGGUGUCGCUGCGGAUUCUAAAUGGAUAACAUU
Molecule: long non-coding RNA, 365 nt
Filed under: Daphnia pulicaria
Lineage: Eukaryota; Metazoa; Arthropoda; Branchiopoda; Diplostraca; Daphniidae
Description: uncharacterized LOC124343010, transcript variant X1
Source: RNAcentral